RNAcentral lists this ribosomal RNA (496 nucleotides) under uncultured bacterium. Its description in RNAcentral is "partial 16S ribosomal RNA". It matches the Rfam family "Bacterial small subunit ribosomal RNA", at positions 28 to 506 of the family's 1533-position model. The record is from RNAcentral.
GAUGAACGCUGGCGGCGUGCCUAAUACAUGCAAGUCGAGCGAACGGACGAGACGCUUGCUUCUCUGAUGUUAGCGGCGGACGGGUGAGUAACACGUGGAUAACCUACCUAUAAGACUGGGAUAACUUCGGGAAACCGGAGCUAAUACCGGAUAAUAUUUUGAACCGCAUGGUUCAAUAGUGAAAGACGGUCUUGCUGUCACUUAUAGAUGGAUCCGCGCUGCAUUAGCUAGUUGGUAAGGUAACGGCUUACCACGGCAACGAUGCAUAGCCGACCUGAGAGGGUGAUCGGCCACAGUGGAACUGAGACACGGUCCAGGCUCCGACGGGAGGCAGCAGUAGGGAAGCUUCCGCAAUGGGCGAAAGCCUGACGGAGCAACGCCGCGUGAGUGAUGAAGGUCUUCGGAUCGUAAAACGCUGUUAGUAGGGAAGAACAUAUGUGUAAGUAACUGUGCACAUCUUGACGGUACCUAAACAGAAAGCCACGGCUAACUACGU